RNAcentral lists this ribosomal RNA (253 nucleotides) under uncultured bacterium. RNAcentral's name for it is "partial 16S ribosomal RNA". It matches the Rfam family "Bacterial small subunit ribosomal RNA", at positions 524 to 776 of the family's 1533-position model. The record is from RNAcentral.
UACGGAGGGUGCAAGCGUUAUCCGGAUUCACUGGGCUUAAAGGGUGUGUAGGCGGGCUGUUAAGUCAGUGGUGAAAUCUCCGGGCUCAACCCGGAAGCUGCCAUUGAUACUAUCAGUCUUGAAUUCUGUUGAGGUGGGCGGAAUAUGUCAUGUAGCGGUGAAAUGCAUAGAUAUGACAUAGAACACCAAUUGCGAAGGCAGCUCACUAAGCAGCGAUUGACGCUGAGGCACGAAAGCGUGGGGAUCAAACAGG